Molecule: ribosomal RNA, 449 nt
Filed under: uncultured bacterium
Lineage: Bacteria
Description: partial 16S ribosomal RNA
Rfam family: Bacterial small subunit ribosomal RNA
Source: RNAcentral
AACGAACGCUGGCGGCAUGCCUAACACAUGCAAGUCGAACGCAUCCUUCGGGGUGAGUGGCAGACGGGUGAGUAACGCGUGGGAACGUGCCCUUCAGUUCGGGAUAACCCAGGGAAACUUGGGCUAAUACCGGAUACGUGCGAGAGCAGAAAGAUUUAUCGCUGAAGGAUCGGCCCGCGUCUGAUUAGCUAGUUGGUGGGGUAAUGGCCCACCAAGGCGACGAUCAGUAGCUGGUCUGAGAGGAUGAUCAGCCACAUUGGGACUGAGACACGGCCCAAACUCCUACGGGAGGCAGCAGUGGGGAAUAUUGGACAAUGGGCGCAAGCCUGAUCCAGCCAUGCCGCGUGAGUGAUGAAGGCCUUAGGGUUGUAAAGCUCUUUCGUCCGGGACGAUAAUGACGGUACCGGAAGAAGAAGCCCCGGCUAACUUCGUGCCAGCAGCCGCUGUAA